GGGCGAAUGGUGGAAUGGCAGACACGUAUGUCUUAGGAACAUAUCUCGCAAGAGGUCUCGGUUCAAGUCCGAGUUCGCCCACCA
RNAcentral lists this transfer RNA (84 nucleotides) under Pseudomonadota bacterium. Its description in RNAcentral is "Proteobacteria bacterium (marine metagenome) tRNA-Leu". It matches the Rfam family "tRNA". Rfam says of the family: Transfer RNA (tRNA) molecules are approximately 80 nucleotides in length. Their secondary structure includes four short double-helical elements and three loops (D, anti-codon, and T loops). Lineage: Bacteria; Pseudomonadati; Pseudomonadota. The record is from RNAcentral.